AUUGAACGCUGGCGGCAGGCCUAACACAUGCAAGUCGAGCGGAUGAAGGGAGCUUGCUCCUGGAUUCAGCGGCGGACGGGUGAGUAAUGCCUAGGAAUCUGCCUGGUAGUGGGGGAUAACGUCCGGAAACGGGCGCUAAUACCGCAUACGUCCUGAGGGAGAAAGUGGGGGAUCUUCGGACCUCACGCUAUCAGAUGAGCCUAGGUCGGAUUAGCUAGUUGGUGGGGUAAAGGCCUACCAAGGCGACGAUCCGUAACUGGUCUGAGAGGAUGAUCAGUCACACGGGAACUGAGACACGGUACAGACUCCUACGGGAGGCAGCAGUGGGGAAUAUUGGACAAUGGGCGAAAGCCUGAUCCAGCCAAGCCGCGUGUGUGAAGAAGGUCUUCGGAUUGUAAAGCACUGUAAGUUGGGAGGAAGGGCAGUAAGUUAAUACCUUGCUGUUUUGACGGUACCAACAGAAUAAGCACCGGCUAACUUCGUG
RNAcentral lists this ribosomal RNA (484 nucleotides) under uncultured bacterium. RNAcentral's name for it is "partial 16S ribosomal RNA". It matches the Rfam family "Bacterial small subunit ribosomal RNA", at positions 30 to 507 of the family's 1533-position model. The record is from RNAcentral.